RNAcentral lists this ribosomal RNA (496 nucleotides) under uncultured bacterium. RNAcentral describes it as "bacterial SSU rRNA". It matches the Rfam family "Bacterial small subunit ribosomal RNA", at positions 29 to 518 of the family's 1533-position model. The record is from RNAcentral.
AUGAACGCUAGCGACAGGCCUAACACAUGCAAGUCAGGGGCAGCACAAGGAGCAAUCUGAGGUGGCGACCGGCGCACGGGUGAGUAACACGUAUGCAACCUGCCUGUAAGCGGGGAAUAACCCGUUGAAAGACGGACUAAUACCGCAUAAUACUAAAUUACUGCAUGGUAAUUUAUUUUAAACAUUUAUGGCUUACAGAUGGGCAUGCGCAUGAUUAGCUAGUUGGAGAGGUAACGGCUCCCCAAGGCAACGAUCAUUAGGGGUUCUGAGAGGAAGGUCCCCCCACACUGGUACUGAGACACGGACCAGACUCCUACGGGAGGCAGCAGUGAGGAAUAUUGGUCAAUGGACGAGAGUCUGAACCAGCCAAGUCGCGUGCAGGAAGAAUGUCCCUAUGGAUUGUAAACUGCUUUUGCAGGGGAAUAAAGUGCAUCACGUGUGAUGUUUUGUAUGUACUCUGCGAAUAAGGAUCGGCUAACUCCGUGCCAGCCGCCGC